RNAcentral lists this ribosomal RNA (508 nucleotides) under uncultured bacterium. RNAcentral's name for it is "partial 16S ribosomal RNA". It matches the Rfam family "Bacterial small subunit ribosomal RNA", at positions 28 to 507 of the family's 1533-position model. The record is from RNAcentral.
GACGAACGCUGGCGGCGUGCCUAAUACAUGCAAGUCGAACGCUUCUUUCCUCCCGAGUGCUUGCACUCAAUUGGAAAGAGGAGUGGCGGACGGGUGAGUAACACGUGGGUAACCUACCCAUCAGAGGGGGAUAACACUUGGAAACAGGUGCUAAUACCGCAUAACAGUUUAUGCCGCAUGGCAUAAGAGUGAAAGGCGCUUUCGGGUGUCGCUGAUGGAUGGACCCGCGGUGCAUUAGCUAGUUGGUGAGGUAACGGCUCACCAAGGCCACGAUGCAUAGCCGACCUGAGAGGGUGAUCGGCCACACUGGGACUGAGACACGGCCCAGACUCCUACGGGAGGCAGCAGUAGGGAAUCUUCGGCAAUGGACGAAAGUCUGACCGAGCAACGCCGCGUGAGUGAAGAAGGUUUUCGGAUCGUAAAACCCUGUUGUUAGAGAAGAACAAGGACGUUAGUAACUGAACGUCCCUUGACGGUAUCUAACCAGAAAGCCACGGCUAACUACGUG